UACGUAGGGUGCAAGCGUUGUCCGGAAUUAUUGGGCGUAAAGAGCUCGUAGGCGGUUUGUCGCGUCUGCUGUGAAAACCCGAGGCUCAACCUCGGGCCUGCAGUGGGUACGGGCAGACUAGAGUGCGGUAGGGGAGAUUGGAAUUCCUGGUGUAGCGGUGAAAUGCGCAGAUAUCAGGAGGAACACCGGUGGCGAAGGCGGGUCUCUGGACAGUUCCUGACACUGAGGCACGAAGGCCAGGGGAGCAAACGGG
RNAcentral lists this ribosomal RNA (253 nucleotides) under uncultured bacterium. RNAcentral's name for it is "partial 16S ribosomal RNA". It matches the Rfam family "Bacterial small subunit ribosomal RNA", at positions 524 to 776 of the family's 1533-position model. The record is from RNAcentral.